GGGGUUGUGGCUCAGAGGUAGAGUGCUCGCCUAGCAUGUGUGAGGCACUGGGUUCUAUCCUCAGCACCACA
RNAcentral lists this transfer RNA (71 nucleotides) under Marmota monax (woodchuck). Its description in RNAcentral is "tRNA.Ala". It matches the Rfam family "tRNA". Rfam says of the family: Transfer RNA (tRNA) molecules are approximately 80 nucleotides in length. Their secondary structure includes four short double-helical elements and three loops (D, anti-codon, and T loops). Further hydrogen bonds mediate the characteristic L-shaped molecular structure. tRNAs have two regions of fundamental functional importance: the anti-codon, which is responsible for specific mRNA codon recognition, and the 3' end, to which the tRNAs corresponding amino acid is attached (by aminoacyl-tRNA synthetases). tRNAs cope with the degeneracy of the genetic code in two manners: having more than one tRNA (with a specific anti-codon) for a particular amino acid; and 'wobble' base-pairing, i.e. permitting non-standard base-pairing at the 3rd anti-codon position. The record is from RNAcentral. Lineage: Eukaryota; Metazoa; Chordata; Mammalia; Rodentia; Sciuridae.